CUUGAAAACAAUGCCUGAUGUAAGCAGCUUCCAUGCAGUUAGUCAUUAUUAAUGCAGACAGUUCUGACAGCUAAAGCAAACAGUAUUUGGCAGCAAUAACUUAAUCAGGAUGCUGUUGAGGAAUGCAGUUCACCAACCAGCAAUUGCAUUGUUGUGCAGUUAGCUGGCUUCCCUGUCCCUCCAUUUGUGGCAGUUAAACAUAUUUUAAGUUUAUUUGCCCUCUUGGUAUGCUUUAGUGGUAUCAUCUCUCAGCUUAGCAUGAGAUUGGUCUGAGUUCCUCACAACAUAUUCUUCCAUUGAUGUCACAGAGGUGGAACUGAAAUACAUGAACAGUCCAGAAUGCAGGAGGAAUUCGGCAAGGAAGUACAAGCUUGGUAAUACACGGGUUCGAACAGGGGAACUACCGUCACAGAAUGGUUGAAUUUGGAAGGAAGAUCUGGAGAUCAUCUGCAGCACACCACAAAUCCUCUCAGAAAGCUCACCUGAGCUGUUUCUUCAAGGCAUUCAGAACAUAGGCAAUUGUUACAUAUAAUUGCAGCUUGGCAAUUAUCUCUUAUCUAUUUACUUUGUCCAAACAGUAUAUUCUGGAGAAAGAUUUAUGGCUGAAAGCACUUGAGUAGGCCAUGUCUUUCAGAAGGAUGGAAUGCACAUAAAUUGUUUACGAACUUGAUAACUUCAAACUUUAGCAUGAGUGAAUGGGCAAGGUCAGUAAAAUGAUGGACUGGAUAACAUUCAAAGGUUGAACAGACACAUUCUUUUACAGAUCACCCACAUUCUCUCCUCCACCAUGAGGCACUUCCAACAGCAGCUUUUUCUUUUUCCAGUAACUCACAGAAAAUGUAGUGUACACAUCAACAAAUAACAAGUCUUGUAGUAUUUAGCUUCUGGAAUAUACUAGUAUUUAAGACCAUCUCCUCACAACUGAAGGAUGCAGCAAAAAGAUGCAAAAGCAGUUUAUUUUCAAUACAGGAAUGCAUAGCCUUUCAGGUUUCCAAACAUGGUAUGUAUAGCCAAAUAAGAAAUCUAAUGAUCCCUGAAGAAUUGAAUUAUUCAGGUUGAAAAACUCUGGGGGCUGUUGUUGGUCCAACCAACUUCUCAAAGCAGAGUCAGUUAUCUGAUGAGGCCAGGUUUGUUA
This 1135-nucleotide long non-coding RNA is filed under the name Coturnix japonica (Japanese quail). Its description in RNAcentral is "lncRNA (ENSCJPG00005013236.1)". The record is from RNAcentral. Lineage: Eukaryota; Metazoa; Chordata; Aves; Galliformes; Phasianidae.